This 439-nucleotide ribosomal RNA is filed under the name uncultured bacterium. Its description in RNAcentral is "partial 16S ribosomal RNA". It matches the Rfam family "Bacterial small subunit ribosomal RNA", at positions 339 to 795 of the family's 1533-position model. The record is from RNAcentral.
CUACGGGUCGCAGCAGUGAGGAAUAUUGCACAAUGGGGGGAACCCUGAUGCAGCAACGCCGCGUGGAGGAUGACGCAUUUCGGUGUGUAAACUCCUUUUAUAUGUCAAGAAAAUGACGGUAGCAUAUGAAUAAGCACCAGCUAACUCCGUGCCAGCAGCCGCGGUAAUACGGAGGGUGCAAGCGUUACUCGGAAUCACUGGGCGUAAAGGACGCGUAGGCGGGUUGGAAAGUCAGGUGUGAAAUCCUACAGCUUAACUGUAGAACUGCACUUGAAACUUCUAAUCUAGAGUAUGGGAGGGGGAGAUGGAAUUAGUGGUGUAGGGGUAAAAUCCGUAGAUAUCACUAGGAAUACCUAAAGCGAAGGCGAUCUCCUGGAACAUUACUGACGCUAAGGCGUGAAAGCGUGGGGAGCAAACAGGAUUAAAUACCCCCGUAGUC